This 607-nucleotide ribosomal RNA is filed under the name uncultured bacterium. Its description in RNAcentral is "bacterial SSU rRNA". It matches the Rfam family "Bacterial small subunit ribosomal RNA", at positions 202 to 790 of the family's 1533-position model. The record is from RNAcentral.
CAAAGAGGGGGACCUUCGGGCCUCUUGCCAUCGGAUGUGCCCAGAUGGGAUUAGCUAGUAGGUGGGGUAACGGCUCACCUAGGCGACGAUCCCUAGCUGGUCUGAGAGGAUGACCAGCCACACUGGAACUGAGACACGGUCCAGACUCCUACGGGAGGCAGCAGUGGGGAAUAUUGCACAAUGGGCGCAAGCCUGAUGCAGCCAUGCCGCGUGUAUGAAGAAGGCCUUCGGGUUGUAAAGUACUUUCAGCGGGGAGGAAGGGAGUAAAGUUAAUGCCUUUGCUCAUUGACGUUACCCGCAGAAGAAGCACCGGCUAACUCCGUGCCAGCAGCCGCGGUAAUACGGAGGGUGCAAGCGUUAAUCGGAAUUACUGGGCGUAAAGCGCACGCAGGCGGUUUGCUAAGUCAGAUGUGAAAUCCCCGGGCUCAACCUGGGAACUGCAUCUGAUACUGGCAAGCUUGAGUCUCGUAGAGGGGGGUAGAAUUCCAGGUGUAGCGGUGAAAUGCGUAGAGAUCUGGAGGAAUACCGGUGGCGAAGGCGGCCCCCUGGACGAAGACUGACGCUCAGGUGCGAAAGCGUGGGGAGCGAACAGGAUUAGAUACCCUGG